Molecule: ribosomal RNA, 251 nt
Filed under: uncultured prokaryote
Description: partial 16S rRNA
Rfam family: Bacterial small subunit ribosomal RNA
Source: RNAcentral
ACGGAGGUUGCGAGCGUUGUUCGGAAUGACUGGGCGUAAAGGGAGCGCAGGCGGUUCGGCAAGUCUAAAGUGGAAGCCCGGGGCUUAACCUCGGAAGUGCUUUGGAUACUGCCGCACUCGAGUUCGUGAGAGGAAAGCGGAAUUCCAGGUGUAGCGGUGAAAUGCGUAGAUAUCUGGAGGAACACCGGUGGCGAAAGCGGCUUUCUGGCACGAUACUGACGCUGAGGCUCGAAAGCAUGGGGAGCGAACGG